GAUGAACGCUGGCGGCGUGCCUAAUACAUGCAAGUCGAGCGAACAGAUGAGGAGCUUGCUCCUCUGACGUUAGCGGCGGACGGGUGAGUAACACGUGGAUAACCUACCUAUAAGACUGGGAUAACUUCGGGAAACCGGAGCUAAUACCGGAUAAUAUAUUGAACCGCAUGGUUCAAUAGUGAAAGACGGUUUUGCUGUCACUUAUAGAUGGAUCCGCGCCGCAUUAGCUAGUUGGUAAGGUAACGGCUUACCAAGGCAACGAUGCGUAGCCGACCUGAGAGGGGGAUCGGCCACACGGGAACUGAGACACGGUCCAGACUCCUACGGGAGGCAGCAGUAGGGAAUCUUCCGCAAUGGGCGAAAGCCUGACGGAGCAACGCCGCGUGAGUGAUGAAGGUCUUCGGAGCGUAAAACUCUGUUAUUAGGGAAGAACAAAUGUGUAAGUAACUAUGCACGUCUUGACGGUACCUAAUCAGAAAGCCACGGCUAACUACGUG
This 497-nucleotide ribosomal RNA is filed under the name uncultured bacterium. RNAcentral describes it as "partial 16S ribosomal RNA". It matches the Rfam family "Bacterial small subunit ribosomal RNA", at positions 28 to 507 of the family's 1533-position model. The record is from RNAcentral.